Molecule: long non-coding RNA, 174 nt
Organism: Rana temporaria (common frog)
Lineage: Eukaryota; Metazoa; Chordata; Amphibia; Anura; Ranidae
Exons: 3
Source: RefSeq, a predicted model, not a curated record
AGUAGAGAGGAGACAUUGCUGGAAAGUGGCAGCAGACAAGGGAGACCUUCAUAGAUGACGGCACGAGUAAGAAUGGAGGAGUACCGGAGACACGUGACUGAGAAGAUACUAAACCUCACCCUGGAGAUCAUCUACCUGCUGAGUGGAGAGAGAUUUCCUCUUGUGAAGUCAGGU